GGGCUAUGCACUUUUAUGGUGCUUACCUCCUAAAAUAGAUAAUUAGUCAUAUGGACCUCCUAUGCAUUUCAGAGGCUGGAUAUUAUUUUUAGUAAGUCUGCAUUUUUACUUUGGUAACUUAAUAGUUUAAAAUACAUUUGGUGGCAUUCCAUUUGAAGCUAAUGAAAACAUGGCAAAUUAAGUGCAGUACUGUGAUCCUAGGGCAAAUUCACUCGA
This 216-nucleotide long non-coding RNA is filed under the name Elaeis guineensis (African oil palm). RNAcentral's name for it is "long non-coding RNA (EGUI_LNC011863)". Lineage: Eukaryota; Viridiplantae; Streptophyta; Magnoliopsida; Arecales; Arecaceae. The record is from RNAcentral.